Molecule: long non-coding RNA, 510 nt
Organism: Herpailurus yagouaroundi (jaguarundi)
Lineage: Eukaryota; Metazoa; Chordata; Mammalia; Carnivora; Felidae
Exons: 2
Source: RefSeq, a predicted model, not a curated record
ACUGAAAAAUCUCUAAAAAAAAAAAGAAAAGAAAACAGUUGAACAUGAAUCUAAAAGCAUUUAUAAAUAUUUGAAGUCAGCGUUAGAACAACCAUAAAAACGUAAAGGGAAGGCCCUGAACCAAAUCUGGACUAAGUCUUUGCUGUGCAUCUUAUCUCCCAGGGUGUUGAAGGAAGACAGGGAGUCAAAGCAGAGAUGGGGCUGUACAUAGCACAUAUGAGUUAUGGGAAGUGCAUGAACUGAAUGUUAGUGACCCCCAAAAUUCAUGUUGAAUCACUAAAACCUCAAAGUGAUGGUAGUUGGAGCUGGGACCUUUGAGAGGUAAUUGGGUUUGGAUGAGAUCAUGAGGGUGUUGCCCUCAUGAUAGGAUUAGUGUCCUUAUAAAAAGGGAAAGUCUGUUAUAAGAUUAACAAGGUCUGAGGAUCUUAUGUGUAACCUGGUGACUACAGUUGAUAACACUGCAUGGUAUAACUGAAAUUUGCUAAGAGAAUAGAACUUAAGUGUUCUCAC